GUCAGACAGUUUUCAAUUUGUGAUUACCAUUGGGCCUUAGUUGCCUUCCUUUUUCAUCCACUAGAAACUAAAAGGACAUGUAGAAUAUACAACUUUAUGCUGUUGUGCAUAAUUGCACACCUUCAAGCUUGAGGUUGAGGUAUUGUAAACAUUAGCAUUUGUCAAAAUGUUAAACACUGUGCAUAAGAGCACAUCAUGCUCCAGUGCUUCCAUUGUGCUUGAACAUGUCUUUCUCGACUGUGCUCCUUUCUUACACAUAUCAUUUAAAUUUGAAAGAAAUCUCUCUCACGACCUCAAACGACUUUCCACUCGACGACCACCUCACCAUCUGCUUCACCGCACCAUCCCCUAUCUUACCACCGUUUACCGACUUCACCAUCACCGUUACCAUCGUUUCUGAUAUCAUCGUCACCACCAUUCAUAGCCAUUGUCAUUAUCUGCCUUCGCUUCCCCUAAAAUCCUAUUUCGGGUGUUUUGGAUUUCUGGUUUAUGAUAACAGACACACGCACAAAGAUGGUCUAACCUAUAGGGUUCAGAGCAAGAGAUGGAUUCAUGCUAAAGAGGGCAAACUUGGAAUACCCAACAGUACAAAAUUAGAUUGCAAAUAUCUCUACUAAUAUGUUGGUGGAGAAAAAGAAAGAAUCGGCUAUGCAUGCCACAAAUUACUGAUGCGCUUCUUGAAAUUGAGGAGGAAAAUGCAAUAUGGUCCACGUCCAAAACACAAAAAGCUUCUGUAGAAGCCAUUAAAAGAAAAUCAAAGUUUUAUAAUGAUGAAAUUGCUUUGUUAACAAAUACAAUAUUAGAGGUAAUAAUCAAAACAUUUAAUUACAAUAUAUGAUAACGAUCAUUGUAUUGUAUUUAUUGCUUUAAGGUGAGGAAUAAAUGCAAGAUUAGCACAGGAAACUGGCUUUUACAGGAAAAAAGGGGUGUGGAGAAAGCAAUCAGGUUUACCCAUAUCCUUUAGGAUUCAUGUUUUUAGGCCAAGGGUAUUUUUGUCUUUUGAUACGUUUAGUUACCGGUAGCCUGGUACAGUGUGGAGAACACUUGAAAUUGACAAACCAAAGAAUGAUCUUAUACUACCAUGAUGUAAGUUCUAUACAUUUAAAUAAACUAUAUUCCACUUCAUACUAAUUUGUGAUUAUACAUAAUUACAUACUUUAAUUAUAUAUUAUAUUACAUCUAAUAACUUUUUAGUCGUUUAGGCACUAUUUAUAUAUUUAUUUAGUUUUGUAGUAUAUUCUUCCACUUUGUCUUAAUUUUUUAUUUUGAAACACCAAUAGGAUAUACUAAACGUAUGACAUUGUUACAGUAGAAAUUCAUAACCUGGCCUGUACAUCAGGUAUGUGAUGGAUUAGUUGCAAGUUAUAUCAAAUAUGAAUUAUAAUUUUUGUAUGUAAUUACUACACGUAUGCCAUUGUUACAACUUACACAUUUCAGGUUUAGGGUAGAGUGGAGUGGAUCUACACUAUGGGUCUAAUGGUCCAUACGACAUGCAACAUCACAUUGUUAAUCCUUGGUAUGGCCAUGGAGUUGUACAUCAUGGUCGGUAUUAUAUGAAACUUUCUAAUGGUUAGUGUUAAUUCAUUUAGACAACCCUCGCCCAUCUUGUUAAAGAAGAUUAUUACUUUAAUUAAAUUACAAUUUAAUUCUCUAAAAUAACAAGAAAAAUAUUAUUAUUAUUGUUAUUAUUAUUUGGGUCAAAUGCAAGCAAUAACAACUUACAAUUUUAUUUUUA
This is a non-coding RNA of Lactuca sativa (garden lettuce), 1735 nucleotides long. Lineage: Eukaryota; Viridiplantae; Streptophyta; Magnoliopsida; Asterales; Asteraceae. The record is from RefSeq and is a predicted model, not a curated record.